RNAcentral lists this ribosomal RNA (214 nucleotides) under uncultured bacterium. RNAcentral's name for it is "partial 16S ribosomal RNA". It matches the Rfam family "Bacterial small subunit ribosomal RNA", at positions 120 to 334 of the family's 1533-position model. The record is from RNAcentral.
CGCAAUCUACCUUUAUCCGGGGCAUAGCCCAGUGAAAACUGGAUUAACACCCCAUAACAUCACAGCCUGGCAUCAGGCAAUGAUUAAAAAUUUAUUGGAUAGAGAUGAGCGUGCGUCCCAUUAGCUAGUUGGUAGGGUAAUGGCCUACCAAGGCGACGAUGGGUAGCUGGUGUGAGAGCACGACCAGCCACACGGGCACUGAGACACGGGCCCG